This is a long non-coding RNA of Spinacia oleracea (spinach), 1382 nucleotides long. RefSeq lists it as uncharacterized. Lineage: Eukaryota; Viridiplantae; Streptophyta; Magnoliopsida; Caryophyllales; Amaranthaceae. The transcript has 5 exons. The record is from RefSeq and is a predicted model, not a curated record.
CAGCGAAUUUUUUGAAAAAAAAAUUUAAAAAAAAAAAAACUUCGCCCAAAGGAGACUACAGACCCGAAUUUCGCCCAAUAGUUUUGGCAGGACCUUAACCUACUUCUCUCCUCCCCCAUAACGCCGCCCAGCCUUCUCUCCUCCGCCUAGCCGUUUGUCCGCGGCUCACCUCACCUCGUCUGCCCAGCCGGCAGCCGUCCAGUACAGCAGUACUCCGUUUCCGCGGCUCACCAAGUUCUCAACUCCUCAAGUAAUGCGAGCCCAGCCACUCAGCUAGAGCAGCCUCCCCGGCCGGCGGCCGCCCACCUCAACGCGUGCCCAGCAGGAACUCCGACAGCCGCCUGCCCGCCCACCUCACGAGUCACCAUUCACCAAUCACCAUUCGGUCCAUUCUCCAGAGACGCAACUCACGCAAGUUUGAGUAAUGCAUCAGUUGGUUAUUGUUGCUGGGAAGGAGCAACGGUUCUGCUAGCAAUGUACCAGGUAAAAAAAAAUGAUACUCCUUCCUUCUCAAAAUAAAUGUCUUGAUAGACCAUUGAGUCAUUGACCUUGUUAAAGGUGCGCUGAUAAGAAACUACUCUAUAUAUUAAGUUGCUGGUGUUGAUUGUAGAAAAGUGGGUCUAUUGAAAAUGUAGGUACAUAGAGUAAUGAAUUUUGGGUGCUGCACUGAUUCUGUUGCAUCACCUUUGGUAUGCUAUAUCUUUGCUUUUUUUUCCUGUCAUAGUAUAUACUGCAAUCCCUUAGGUUUCAGUCCCUUGAAGAGUUUGACGAGGUUAAGAGAAGCUGCAGAAAACGGUUGGAUGUACAUAAUCGACGUAGCAAGAAGAGACAGCCUGAAGCCUUUUACAUGCCUAAUUCUGUUGUUGCCUUUUUGUCAUCUCAUACAGCUUCCUGAUCUUUACUUCAAAAAUAAUCAAGAAACAAUUUAUGAGCCACUUCUGAAUGGGGUUGGUCAAACCGGAAGUAGGACACUGAAGGUUCCGGCUGACAACUCAGGAUUUGCUCUCUCUCUUCUGUCAAGGUAUUGAUCAGAUAUCUGUGUGGAACUUGUUAUGCAACCAAGACCUAUUAGUUCAUCAACAGUUCAAGGUCAAGGUAUUAUUGCUAUUGAUGAAAAAUCUUUCGGUCCAUUUGCUAAGCCCUAAAUUUGAGGAAUAUGGAAUUCCGGAGUGCAAGCUGAAGUUUCCGGAGUGCAACCUUUUGCUGCUCCUACUGAUGUGCAUCCUCAUUCAAGAAGACCGCAGGCUGAUUUUCUUUGCUUGAGUAAUGAACCUGUACACGGAUUAGGGGAAGGGUAUUGUUACAUUAUGUUUUUUCCUUUCCCAUUUUGUAAACGCGUAGGAGUAACUUGUAAAACGUACUUGUAAAAUGUACGCUAUUUU